UUAUUCCUUUAUUUCCUCGUGCACGAGAGAAAGCUGCCAUUUUACGAUUUCUUAUCCAGUACGUACGAGUCGAACCUCUCUCCGGGUUUGAAAUUUUAUAAAUCUGAAUUUCUUUAACAUUUAACUUGAAAUAAGGCCGACUGGAAUUUAAAAAUUUGAUAGCUAACGUUGAGUAAGUUGCGAUGAAGUAAAUUAUUUAGAUUAAAUAAGGAAAUUUGCUAAACUUCGUUGCAUCACGUGAAACUAAAAUUAAUUUUUAAACUGCAACCAAAGAUAAGGAAAAGAGACACAUCCACAUGAAUCAGCAGCAAUUCAUCAGACAAAAAACUCUGCACUGCAUCGAUCAAUCAUCUGAUUUCUCACAGGGUGCUUAAAUUCUUCCCGAUGGCGAAAAGUUGUUCCAAUUUUACUUCAGUUUGUCUCUGUGGCGUCGGCAAAGUUUUCUGCUUUCGAGUUUUUAUUCCUUGUUUCACCGUUUGAUUCUGGACACGUUCGUAAAUUAUUAUUCGCAUCUUCAUGCACUUCUUGUCUGCCCCACUUGCAAUGUGAUCCUCUACCUCGUGUGGGAUCAAAUAUUCUCCUAAAUUUGCAACUAUUGCCUCAAUAUCCACCAUCAUCAUGACCGGACCGCCCUCCUCGCCUAAUGUCUUCGCUUUGUGUCGUCAACUUACUCCCCUACUCGACUCGACGUAAAUAAUGUAUGAAGGGUUGGCGACCACUUUUAAUGGAAUCUACAGCGUGUCGAAUCAAUUACUCUCCCAAAUUUACAACUCAAUUGCUGCCUUACCAUCAUGACUGGACAACUUACGCCAAGCUUAUUGACCUCGUCGCCACCAAAUUACCUAGUUCUUUCGUCGAUAAGUAACCUCAUCUGGUCCAUUUUGAGUUGACACCAUUUCAUACGUAUCUAUAAACCAACAGAUUUAGUGUUUGACUUAGAAAUUAGAAACGUAUUCUGCAUUUCUUCUUAUGCGAAAUGUUCUUCGUUGAAUUCUAUUAUUCCUUCAUAUCUUAAAUUUAAAUCCUUCUAGUGUUUAUGCUAAGAUUUAUUGAAUACUUCAAACCACCACACAAUUACCUUCCAUUUAUCAGCCGCUUCUCACUAUCUACUAAUAUCCAGUUUAGUUUAUCCAAUAUUUACGCAUUUGUGGGUUCACUAUUCUACUCCGUACCCGUACUUAAACUACUACUUAUUUAGUGAACUUGAUUUUUUGGUUCAAUUUAGAUAUGCCUUAACGAAAUGAAAGUCGGUACAGGGUUAGGGUCAGGGUACAGGGUUUAUUAAUCAAGUAGUAACUGACGCAGACUAAUUUUAUUUGGCGAGUCGUUAAAGUCAUGUUAGAAAAUAGCAAUGUAAGUUAUUCUGGACAUUUAAAAAAACAGAUGCAAAUCUUUCGUUUCAAUUUUGAACUUAAGCAAGAUUUUAUAGCAGUGGAACAUAUAUCUAAAAAAAAAUAAUAGUGAAAAUUUUUAGGGAAACUUGUAAAUACCCGAAUUGCUGGCAUCACGUCUAUCCGGUAUUCGUUAAAUUCCUAGGAUUUUGUUUAAUUUUUACACAACUAUUUAGACGGAGUUAGGUGUAGAAUGAUAUUUCGUAAAUCAGCUAGACACAGUCAAGUCGUUUAGUAAUCAUGGACUCAUUUGUCCGUAAUUCUGAAUUUAUUAAUCGUAUUUCUUAAUUAUGGACUAGUUUCUCAAUACUUACGUGAACAUUCUAUCUAACGCCGGAUUUGCAAAUAUGGUAGAUUUGCACGUCCUUUUUAAAAAAUAUCUCCAUUACAACAAAAUUCAUUUACGUGUGGAAUUUAUUAACGGUCGAAACAACGAUGUAAAUUAAUUAGGGAAACUUGUACACUUCUGAGUUGGUGGUCCCGUCUAUCCCAUAUUUGUUGAAUUUCUCUGAUUUUAUAAUAUUUUUGCAUAGCUGGACAAAAGGUGUAGAAUGAUAUUUCGGGAGCGAUAAGAUGAUCGAGCCGCUUCUUAAUUCGACAGCAGGCACGCCGAGGUGUGCAAAAAUGGUACAUUUGCAGUCUUUUAAAACAUAUUUUGGUUAAAACAAAAUUCAUUUACUAGUUCAUUACUGACGAUCUGAACUUUCAGAGUGGUAACUUUAUUAGGGAAAUUAGUUAAAUUUAAGUUCCCGAUUUUAUUUUAGUUUUGCACAAUUAGACAAAUUAGGUGUAGAAUGAUAUUUCAUAAGCAAUCAAACUCAACAUGUCCUUGUACGCAAUUCUUUAUUUAAUUAUAUUACUUAUUUAUUUAUAUUGGAUUAGACUUAGGUAGGAAAAAACACGGUAAACGACGGUACUGUUUAUUCACACCGAAUUUGUGCAAAAACGGUAAAUGUACAAUCUUUACAAAAUGUUUUCAUCAUAUGUAUUUAUACUGUGGCACUCUUUAAUACAUGUUUUAAAACACAUUAGGAGCAUUUAUUUGACCAGAUAUUUAUGUAGUUUUAGGAGUAUGUAUGUAGAAAAUUAUGAUAUAUUUCUUGGUACUACUUUUAUUAUUAUUUUUCAAAAUCAUUGUACUCGAUUUGUUGUACUAAACAUUUGAUAGCACGUUAAUAAACAAAGUUAAAAGAGAGAUCAAA
Molecule: long non-coding RNA, 2593 nt
Organism: Folsomia candida
Lineage: Eukaryota; Metazoa; Arthropoda; Collembola; Entomobryomorpha; Isotomidae
Exons: 7
Source: RefSeq, a predicted model, not a curated record